Molecule: ribosomal RNA, 2222 nt
Filed under: human gut metagenome
Description: bacterial LSU rRNA
Rfam family: Bacterial large subunit ribosomal RNA
Source: RNAcentral
GUGUGACGGCGUGCCUUUUGUAGAAUGAGCCAGCGAGUCGCUGGCGCGGGGCGAGGUUAACCGAAAGGGAGCCGAAGCGAAAGCGAGCCUUAACAGGGCGACUUGAGUCCCGCGCCGCGGACGCGAAGCCGGGUGAGCUAUCCGUGGGCAGGCUGAAGCGGGGGUAAGACCCCGUGGAGGGCCGAACGCACGUCGGUUGAAAACGGCGGCGAUGACCUGCGGAUAGGGGUGAAAGGCCAAUCAAACCCGGAGAUAUCUCGUUCUCCCCGAAAUAGCUUUAGGGCUAGCGUCGCGCGUUCACCGCCGGAGGUAGAGCACCGGAUGGACGAGGGGGCUUCGCCGCCUACCGAAUCCAACCGAACUCCGAAUGCCGGCGGCCCAGAGCGCGGCAGUCAGAGCAUGUGGGCUAAGCUGUGUGCUCGAGAGGGAAACAGCCCGGACCGCCCGCUAAGGUCCCCAAGUCAUCCAGCCGAGUGGCAAAGGAUGUGCGUCCGCCCAGACAACCAGGAUGUUGGCUUAGAAGCAGCCAUCCAUUCAAAGAGUGCGUAACAGCUCACUGGUCGAGUGGACAUGCGCCGACAAUACACGGGGCUAAGCUGGACACCGAAGCGGCGGGAUUUUAAUUCAUUAGAAUCGGUAGGGGAGCUUCCCAUGGGCGGAGAAGCCGGAGGGCGACCGACGGUGGAGCGCAUGGGAGUGAGAAUGCUGGCAUGAGUAGCGAGAGACGAGAGAGUAACUCGUCCGCCGUGAACCCGAGGUUUCCUGGGCAAGGCUAAUCCUCCCAGGGUCAGUCGGGGGCUAAGGCGAGGCCGGGAGGCGUAGCCGACGCGCAGCAGGCAGACAUUCCUGCACCGCGCACGCGGCGCUACGACCGACGGGGCGACGGAUGGGGGUGGCUCGGCGGGGUUCUGGACGUCCCCGUGAUGGAGCGCGGCCCGCGGACCAGGGAAAUCCGGUCCGCAGAAGGGCGAGGCUCCGGACGAAGCGACUGAGCGAAGCGAGUGAGCCCGAGGUCCCUAGAAAAACCCCUAGGCAGGCGCGUGCGCGCCCGUACCGCAAACCGACACAGGUGGGUGGGUAGAACAUACCGAGGCGAUCGGGUCAACCAUGGUCAAGGAACUCGGCACAAUGGCCCCGUAACUUCGGGAGAAGGGGUGCCCGCGCGUACGUGAACCGGCUCGCCCGGGGAGCGGAGGCGGGCCGCAGUGGAGAGGCCCAAGCGACUGUUUACCAAAAACACAGGACUCUGCAGAAGCCGCAAGGCGACGUAUAGGGUCUGACGCCUGCCCGGUGCCGGAAGGUCACGCGGAGGAGUUAGCGCAUUCGGCGAAGCCCCGAAGCCAAGCCCCGGUAAACGGCGGCCGUAACUAUAACGGUCCUAAGGUAGCGAAAUUCCUUGUCGGGUAAGUUCCGACCUGCACGAAAGGCGCAACGACUUGGGCGCUGUCUCGACCAUGGACCCGGUGAAAUUGCACUGGUCGUGAAGAUGCGACUUACCCGCGGAAGGACGGAAAGACCCCGUGAACCUUCACUGCAGCUUGGCAUUGGCCGCUGGUCCCGCGUGUAGAGGAUAGGCAGGAGGCAUCGAUCCGGAGGCGCCAGCCCCCGGGGAGCCGCCCUUGGAAUACUGCCCUCGCGCGACCGGCGUCCUAACCCGAGGCCGUCAACCGGCUCGGGGACCGUGCCAGGCGGGCAGUUUGACUGGGGCGGUCGCCUCCUAAAGGGUAACGGAGGCGCGCGAAGGUCCGCUCGGGACGGUCGGCAACCGUCCUUUUGAAUGCAAGAGUACAAGCGGGCUUGACUGCGAGGCCCACAAGCCGAGCAGGUGCGAAAGCAGGCUCUAGUGAUCCGGCGGCCCCGAGUGGGUGGGCCGUCGCUCAACGGAUAAAAGGUACUCCGGGGAUAACAGGCUGAUCUUGCCCAAGAGUCCACAUCGACGGAAAGGUUUGGCACCUCGAUGUCGGCUCAUCGCAUCCUGGGGCUGGAGCAGGUCCCAAGGGUACGGCUGUUCGCCGUUUAAAGCGGUACGCGAGCUGGGUUCAGAACGUCGUGAGACAGUUCGGUCCCUAUCCUCCGUGGGCGCAGGAGAAUCGAUGGAGGCUGCCCCCAGUACGAGAGGACCGGGGUGGACGCACCUCCGGUGAACCGGUUGUCGACCAACGGCACGGCCGGGUAGCCGCGUGCGGCGCGGAUAACCGCUGAAGGCAUCUAAGCGGGAAGCC